GCCGCCUUCUUCUCGCCGGAUCCGGGGGGUCAGUGCAGCGUGACGGCGCGGGAGGGUGGGGAACGGCCCCGCGGCGCGAUUCUGCCUGCAGAUUUGGCCGGAAUCGCCGGCGGAGGAACGACGGAAGCAAGGGCGGUCGGCGGCGGAAGGGGAUGGGGAAAAUGCACGCGGGCUGAAAUGUCCCUCCCGCCAACUGCUUCUCUGUGAUGCAGGGCACCGCAGCUGCGACGGGGAAACCCGCGUAUUCGCGGGUUGGGGUCGAGAUUUUGCCGCGCCCCUUCAAAAAUUUUGCUGGCCGGGGCGAUAUGCGGGGUCUAAGAGCAACUCUAGCAGACCCCGCAUCCGCCCCCGACCCGGAAAAUAACCGCCAAAAUGCGGGUCGGGGGGUGAUGGGGCAG
Molecule: long non-coding RNA, 398 nt
Filed under: Hordeum vulgare
Lineage: Eukaryota; Viridiplantae; Streptophyta; Magnoliopsida; Poales; Poaceae
Description: long non-coding RNA (HVUL_LNC012995)
Source: RNAcentral